AAUCUCUGUAGAGUCUGCAUAUCAAUAAGCGGAGGAAAAGAAACUAACUAGGAUUCCCUCAGUAACGGCGAGUGAAGCGGGAAGAGCUCAAAUUUGAAAUCUUCAAGGUUCUACCUUGACGAAUUGUAGUUUAAAGAAGUGUUUUCUGUUGGAGUUUUGGUAAAAGUUCUUUGGAAUAGGACAUCAUAGAGGGUGAGAAUCCCGUAUUUGACCAUUAUCUCCAGCUGUGUGAUACACUUUCAAAGAGUCGGAUUGUUUGGGAAUGCAGUCCAAAAUGGGUGGUAAAUUUCAUCUAAAGCUAAAUAUUGGCGAGAGACCGAUAGCGAACAAGUACCGUGAGGGAAAGAUGAAAAGAACUUUGAAAAGAGAGUUAAACAGUACGUGAAAUUGUCAAAAGGGAAGCGUUUGACACCAGUGUUGUUUUUCCGAAAAUCAAUUACGAAUGUUUUGUUUUUAAGAAGUUAUGACUUCAUCGGCUUGCUUCUUUCUUUACGAAACUUUCUUAAUGCACUUUUCGGUUAACAAGUCAACAUCAAUUUCUUUUGUUGUAAAAGGGUAUGAGGAAGGUGGCUUUCUUUUCGGAGAAAGUGUUUAUAGCCUUGUGCCUCUGCAAUCGGAGAGAUUGAGGUCUGCAGCGUAGAUCCUUCGGGGUUAGAUACGUUUGUGCUAAGUUAUAGCUUUUCAUAGACAACUUGUUGACUAUGUUUAGUCUUGUAGCUUACUCGCUGACGCUAUUUUACCUACGCUUAGGAUGUUGAGUAGCGACAUACGCAC
Molecule: ribosomal RNA, 774 nt
Filed under: uncultured Neocallimastigales
Lineage: Eukaryota; Fungi; Neocallimastigomycota; Neocallimastigomycetes; Neocallimastigales
Description: partial large subunit ribosomal RNA
Rfam family: Eukaryotic large subunit ribosomal RNA
Source: RNAcentral